UACGAAGGGGGCUAGCGUUGCUCGGAAUCACUGGGCGUAAAGCGCACGUAGGCGGCUUUCUAAGUCAGGGGUGAAAUCCUGGAGCUCAACUCCAGAACUGCCUUUGAUACUGGGGAGCUCGAGUCUGGAAGAGGUGAGUGGAACUCCGAGUGUAGAGGUGAAAUUCGUAGAUAUUCGGAAGAACACCAGUGGCGAAGGCGGCUCACUGGUCCGGUACUGACGCUGAGGUGCGAAAGCUAGGGGAGCAAACGGG
RNAcentral lists this ribosomal RNA (253 nucleotides) under uncultured bacterium. RNAcentral describes it as "partial 16S ribosomal RNA". It matches the Rfam family "Bacterial small subunit ribosomal RNA", at positions 524 to 776 of the family's 1533-position model. The record is from RNAcentral.